CCAGACUCCUACGGGAGGCAGCAGUGGGGAAUAUUGCACAAUGGGGGAAACCCUGAUGCAGCGACGCCGCGUGAGUGAAGAAGUAUUUCGGUAUGUAAAGCUCUAUCAGCAGGGAAGAAAUAGCGACCUUUGGGUCGCCAGACGGUACCUGAUUAAGAAGCCCCGGCUAACUACGUACCAGCAGCCGCGGUAAUACGUAGGGGGCAAGCGUUAUCCGGAUUUACUGGGUGUAAAGGGAGCGUAGACGGCAGCGCAAGUCUGAAGUGAAAUGCCGGGGCUUAACCCCGGAACUGCUUUGGAAACUGUGCAGCUAGAGUGCAGGAGAGGUAAGUGGAAUUCCUUGUGUAGCGGUGAAAUGCGUAGAUAUAAGGAAGAACACCAGUGGCGAAGGCGGAUUACUGGACGAUAACUGACGGUGAGGCGCGAAAGCGUAGGGAGCAAACAGGAUUAGAUACCCUAGUA
Molecule: ribosomal RNA, 462 nt
Filed under: uncultured bacterium
Lineage: Bacteria
Description: bacterial SSU rRNA
Rfam family: Bacterial small subunit ribosomal RNA
Source: RNAcentral